Molecule: microRNA precursor, 102 nt
Filed under: Heliconius melpomene (postman butterfly)
Lineage: Eukaryota; Metazoa; Arthropoda; Insecta; Lepidoptera; Nymphalidae
Description: microRNA hme-mir-276 precursor
Gene: hme-mir-276
Rfam family: mir-276 microRNA precursor family (bases 10-95)
Source: miRBase by way of RNAcentral
GAAGAAAACACUGGUGAUUGCCACUAGCGAGGUAUAGAGUUCCUACGUAAUAUAGAACUGUAGGAACUUCAUACCGUGCUCUUGGGUUUGCCAAUGGUCUAC